GUGCUUAACACAUGCAAGUCGAACGAGAAUCACCGGAAGGAGUUUUCGGACAACGGAAGGUGAGGACAGUGGCGGACGGGUGAGUAACGCGUGAGGAACCUGCCUUUCAGAGGGGGACAACAGUUGGAAACGACUGCUAAUACCGCAUAACGCAUAGGUAUCGCAUGGUACUUAUGCCAAAGAUUUAUCGCUGAAAGAUGGCCUCGCGUCUGAUUAGCUGGUUGGUGAGGUAACGGCCCACCAAGGCGACGAUCAGUAGCCGGACUGAGAGGUUGACCGGCCACAUUGGGACUGAGAUACGGCCCAGACUCCUACGGGAGGCAGCAGUGGGGAAUAUUGGGCAAUGGGCGCAAGCCUGACCCAGCAACGCCGCGUGAAGGAAGAAGGCUUUCGGGUUGUAAACUUCUUUUGGCAGGGAAGAGGAGAAGACGGUACCUGCCGAAUAAGCCACGGCUAACUACGUGCCAGCAGCCGCGGUAAUACGUAGGUGGCAAGCGUUGUCCGGAUUUACUGGGUGUAAAGGGCGUGUAGCCGGGUUGGUAAGUCAGAUGUGAAAUGCACGGGCUUAACUCGUGAACUGCAUUUGAAACUGCUGAUCUUGA
Molecule: ribosomal RNA, 602 nt
Filed under: uncultured rumen bacterium
Lineage: Bacteria
Description: bacterial SSU rRNA
Rfam family: Bacterial small subunit ribosomal RNA
Source: RNAcentral